Molecule: non-coding RNA, 30 nt
Filed under: Homo sapiens (human)
Lineage: Eukaryota; Metazoa; Chordata; Mammalia; Primates; Hominidae
Source: RNAcentral
UGCAUAAAGUCAGGCUUGGUUGUAGGCCCC